RNAcentral lists this long non-coding RNA (622 nucleotides) under Fukomys damarensis (Damara mole-rat). RNAcentral's name for it is "lncRNA (ENSFDAG00000025944.1)". The record is from RNAcentral. Lineage: Eukaryota; Metazoa; Chordata; Mammalia; Rodentia; Bathyergidae.
GGGUGAUGUUGGUAUAAUGAUGACAUCUGGUGAGUUGACCUUGAAAGCAAGGUGGCAGAUGCAUCAGUUAUCAUAGGCCUUGAGAAACACAGGUUGCCUGUUGGUAUGUGAUUAUAAACAAGAACCUCAUUGGCUAGGACAGCAGCAUACUGAUUUGGAAAUGUAGAAGGCUGCAUCUCCAUUCCAACGUAACUGUUCUGUAAAGGAGAUGACGUGGUAUUGAGACGUAGUCAUUUUACUGAAGUUCCCAACUGAAGCACUUGCCUGGGUGUAGCUGCUAUUUGAGUGAACAUGAUCCAGAGCCAGCUGAUGUUCGAGUGAUCUGCUUCCGGUGAGCUGGCCUCCGAGUCCUAGAAAGGGAAUCCAGGAAAUUCUGGGGCGCCCCUUCCGAGGAGGUGGACAGCUGCUCCCUCCGGCGGGACUCGGGUUGAGGCCCAAUAUGGGCUGUGUCAGUUAUCCCUCUCCUUCCCGGCUAAUGCACCAAAUGUUAUGCUUCUUUAUCUCCUUUUAUCUUCCCCUCAAGGUUAUUAUGAGGAACAAAUUAAAUAAAAAUAUGUGAAAGUUCUUUAUAAACUGGAAUAACUGCUGUUUAAUUCACUGUAUCCUGAAAUUAUGAGUGGAC